Molecule: transfer RNA, 66 nt
Filed under: Agriosphodrus dohrni
Lineage: Eukaryota; Metazoa; Arthropoda; Insecta; Hemiptera; Reduviidae
Description: tRNA-Arg
Source: RNAcentral
AGAGUAGUGAAGUAAUAAUUACAUUUAGUUUCGACCUAAAAUUAGAGGAAGCCCCUCCUUACUUUA